GUCUUCCUCUCGUUUCUUUUUCAGACGCGAGUUGGUGGACUUGUCGGUAGGAGACAGUCAGAACAGAGACAGAACAGAGCAGAGCGUGUGAAGAAAGAAAGGUUGCCUUCAUGUUUCUGCCUGGUGAAAAACUGUCUGGGGGCUGCAGCCAAUUCCAGCUGACAUCCCGAUCCCAAGGCUGAGUACUGCAAAGCACAAAAGGCAAAUUCAGAAUUUGGAAGAUAUUUUGAUUUCUUAGUAAACAGACUUUGUGCACUGUGUGGCGGUGGGGGAGAAAUUUUAAUCAGAAGAGAAAAAUCUUCUUUGAUUGAGGCUCAACUCUCACUGUUUUAAUGACUGAAAAACACAAAGGACAGCACAGUUUCAGUUUUGUUCAUAUUUGAUGGACCGUGACACCUUUUUAGCAUCAAACUGUGUUUUAGUAUCCUCUACAGAGAGCAUUCAUGGAUCUCGUGAAAAUCAAAAACGUCUCUCCACCAAGAAAAAUCUUUAUCGUUCUUUGUUGUUUUUUCUCACACCGAAACAAACUCACCAGACACAGCUGAUGUCAGCAGUGUUUACAUUAAACUCUUCAGGAGCAGCCAUUUUUGUUUUAAAAUGAACAGUCGCUUCUCUCGCUGCCAGUGGUUCCUCAAAAGAUGCUGAUUGGUUCAAUGCCAUUGUGGUAAGAAACAAGGGGAUAUAGCUUGAAGCCUGACAUGAUGAAUCUACAAAAUGACAUGACCACAUGAUCAAGGUAUUGGAAAUAUUUCCAAUAAAUGAAGAUAGUUAUUUGUGGUUCUUUUGCUCCCAUACAAUCCGGCUGACACAUUGUAACUCAGUGGUGAAUCGGGAAACAAACAAAAUAUAGAAAUUGAUGGUAGACUUGGGUUUUGUCUGUUGUCUGUCUUCACUCAGAUAUGAAACGGCAGUGGUGUUGUGAUAUAUCAGAUCAGUCUGAUCUGAUCUGCCACAGAGUCCAAUCAAUAACUGAGGGGGUGGACAGAACAGAGACUGACAGAACAGAGAAUUAGUAUGAUGGCAACCUGGAUGCGAGAGGACGCUGGCACGAAUAUCGCAGCUUCUCAAUCCGUAGCAAAUCUGCUUUUUGUUGGAGAAAGAAAGCCACGUUGUCUCUACAGGCUCUUGGGCUGCACUGAUCAGCUGUUGGCCCGGCGAUCAGCUAUUGGCCUAGCAACACUAACUUUCAAACCGACGUACUCAAUACUCUGUGAGCUGUCCAUCGUUGCUCCGUUGGUCCUGCCUCCACCACAACCUCAGGCUUAUUCACCGCCUAGUUACACAUGCAGAUACAAACUUUU
Acanthopagrus latus (yellowfin seabream) is the source of this 1301-nucleotide long non-coding RNA. RefSeq lists it as uncharacterized. The record is from RefSeq and is a predicted model, not a curated record. The transcript is spliced from 2 exons. NCBI's taxonomy places the organism in Eukaryota, Metazoa, Chordata, Actinopteri, Spariformes, Sparidae.